CCACCUGGAAACACCCACUUUGAAGUAUUAAUCCAAGUGACAUUGGAUUAAAGUUUUCCUUGACUUCCUCCAACCCCAGCACAGUGCCAGUGGCUCUUGGAGAAAGGGGAAAAGUCUGUGCUCUUAGAAAGUGCUAAUGAAAUAGACAAGCCACAGCCUAACAGAUGGGUAAGCGUGCUGGAGGAUGAGCUUCACGUGGAUUUAGAGCUGUGAUUACACCCGCUCCUGGUUUCACCCCCAAUGACUCCCACAGUGUGCACCUGUAGAUGGUAAGCUCAGUUCUUUCAGCUGCACCACCAGAGACACCCUUGCUGACAGAAUAGCCCUUCCCCUUUGUGCAAGGUUUUUCUCUGUGCACAUUUUGAUUAUCUCCCCACCUCCCUCAUUUGAUUUUGGCUGUGCUUCUGUUAUAAUUAUUUUACAAGUGUGUGUACAAACAGUGUGCUACCUCUUCAAAAUUUUCUAAAUACCUUGGGAACUCAAAUUUUCGGAGGGAGCCUUCUCCAGCCACCUGUGGCUGCAAAACUGUGUGAUUCCUUGAAGACUGUCAGGUGUGGAGGGGUAAUUUAUCCUGCUUCCCUGCCGUUCUAGAAUGAUAGGAGGUUGUGAUUGCAGCAAAUUUGGAGAUCAUCUUUCAUAAGAAACCCAGAUAUAUUUUCUAGGCUUGGAUACUUUAUUGAUGCAGAUGCUGGAGUGUGGAGAAGACUCGAGCUCUCUUCAAGUUUACCAGGCCAACCCACCCUCAGCCAGUGUCAAAUUAGUCUGGGAAGAAAAUAUACAAGCAGAGGCUUCUGAUCAGAUUGUAGAGGGGAGGAGAACAGAGUCCGGAGCCAUGGGCUUGAGGUAAGUCUGUGUUAUCAGAGAAGAAAACCAAACUUCUGAGCUCAUCUUUUGCAUUUUCAUUGCACCACCUUCAGUCAAGCACUGAAGCCUACAAUUUUAUGAGGAGGAAAGGAGAGUUAAAUGAACUAUGGGAUAACAUAAAAAUUGCAAGUCAUAAGCACCAAAAGGCAUAGAAAAGGACUCUGAGACCCAGAAAACUACUUGACUAGAGCAGUCAGAUUCUAUUCAUGUAGAGUAUUGAUGGAAGCAGACUGUGUGUGUACAAGUAUAUUUGUUUUAUUUAGUUAGAUUAAAAGGUUUACUUCCAGUAUAUUAUCAUCAUAGCCAAGAAGAGUUAUGAUGUGCUAGUUUAGAAUGCAUUGAUACGUGCUCAGGUGCAGGAGGCACUGCUGGGACCAUUAUACUUUUGGGUGUAGGAGGGUGAACAGCAGUAUGUUCUGCACAGGCUUGCACCAGAACCGUUCAGCAGAAGCAGAGUGAUAAUAACUCCUAAUGUGCCAAUAUUGGAACAGAACAAGUUCAAUUUGAAAGGAAUUAAGUUAACGAUGUAUUGACUGAGAGAAAUAUUCAGUGUUAAUUGGAUGGCAUUCCGAAUGCGCCUGCUAUGCAAUACAGCUGUUUGUUAAAGGAGGGCUUUGGCCUAGAUUUGUCCUUGUUCUGCCUGAAAUUGCCAUGUGUUUUUACUGCAUAUUCCAAUGAAAGCCUAGGUAAGCUAAUGGAACCCACAUGUUAAAUUAUGUGCGUGUGUGUGUGUGCAUGUAAACAUAUAUAUGAGUUUGGUAUCAUUUUCCUCAGUAUGGCCGUGGCAAAGAAUAUGAUAAAAGGUGAUUUGGGAAGUCUAUAGAAAAUUUCUUGGGUACUUUAAUCUUGAGGAAAUGCAAAGGAAAAUAAAAUAUUGGCAGUAGAAAUGGCAUUCUGUAAUUCAGAUAAACAUGUCAUGGUGAGGUGAUAAACUGAAAUUCAAAUGGUUGAUGGUGGCUGCUGGAUUUUAAAAAUAAUUUAAACAAAUAUCUUUUAGAAGCAAUAUUAUUGUAGACAUGAUGAUAUAAUUUUUAACAGUUUUAUUGAGGUAUGAUUUAGAUACAUAAAAUUCACCUCCAUUAAGUGUAUAUUUUUAGUACAUUUACGGAGCUGUGCAAUCAUCACCACACUAAUUUUAAAACAUGCCCAUUACCAAAAUAAGACAAUACGUUUUUGAUUAUAACAAAAUUUUAGCAUGCAAUUAUUCAAUAACUAUAUUAUUUUAUUUAGUUAGUAGAAUUUGUUAAUCUCUAAAUAUAUAUAAAGUGAUUUAUAACAUAUUUUAUUUAAAAUUUCUGAUAAAUAUAUGUAUUUCAUUAACCCAGAUCUAUAGGAACUAAUCUGCUAGGAUACAAAUUACAACAAUUUGUGUCAUUUAGUGUCUACUAAUAGUGUUUGCAAGCGACUUAUUGCAUAUUAUCUACGUUAAUAAAAAUUUAAAUUUUUUGUCUAACCUGAAAAUAUAACAGAACCUAGUCUCAGA
This is a long non-coding RNA of Callithrix jacchus (white-tufted-ear marmoset), 2347 nucleotides long. Lineage: Eukaryota; Metazoa; Chordata; Mammalia; Primates; Cebidae. The record is from Ensembl.